RNAcentral lists this ribosomal RNA (253 nucleotides) under uncultured bacterium. Its description in RNAcentral is "partial 16S ribosomal RNA". It matches the Rfam family "Bacterial small subunit ribosomal RNA", at positions 524 to 776 of the family's 1533-position model. The record is from RNAcentral.
UACGUAGGUGGCAAGCGUUGUCCGGAUUUACUGGGCGUAAAGAGCGCGCAGGCGGCUGGUCAAGUCCGAUGUGAAAUCUCCCGGCUCAACUGGGAAACUGCAUCGGAAACUGAUCGGCUUGAAGGUGGGAGAGGGUAGUGGAAUUCCCGGUGUAGUGGUGAAAUGCGUAGAUAUCUGGAGGAACACCGGUGGCGAAGGCGGCAUCCUGGACCGGUAUUGACGCUGAGGCGCGAAAGCCAGGGGAGCAAACGGG